AGAGUUUGAUCCUGGCUCAGGAUGAACGCUGGCGGCGUGCUUAACACAUGCAAGUCGAACGAAGCGCCUUGCUUGAUUUUCUUCGGAAAUGAUUGCAUUGCGACUGAGUGGCGGACGGGUGAGUAACGCGUGGAUAACCUGCCCUGCACAGGGGGAUAACAGCCGGAAACGGCUGCUAAUACCGCUUAAGCGCACACCACCGCAUGGUGGAGUGUGAAAAGCCGAGACGGUGCAGGAUGGGUCCGCGUCUGAUUAGCUUGUUGGCGGGGCAACGGCCCACCAAGGCGACGAUCAGUAGCCGGCCUGAGAGGGCGACCGGCCACAUUGGGACUGAGACACGGCCCAGACUCCUACGGGAGGCAGCAGUGGGGGAUAUUGCGCAAUGGGGGGAACCCUGACGCAGCAACGCCGCGUGAAGGAAGACGGUUUUCGGAUUGUAAACUUCUUUAAGUGUGGAAGAAGAUGACGGUACACACAGAAUAAGCCACGGCUAACUACGUGCCAGCAGCCGCGGUAAUACGUAGGUGGCGAGCGUUGUCCGGAUUUACUGGGUGUAAAGGGCGUGUAGGCGGGUUUUCAAGUCAGAUGUGAAAUACCGGGGCUUAACUCCGGGGCUGCAUUUGAAACUGAGAGUCUUGAGUGCCGGAGAGGAAAGCGGAAUUCCUAGUGUAGCGGUGAAAUGCGUAGAUAUUAGGAGGAACACCAGUGGCGAAGGCGGCUUUCUGGACGGUAACUGACGCUGAGGCGCGAAAGCAUGGGGAGCAAACAGGAUUAGAUACCCUGGUAGUCCAUGCCGUAAACGAUGGAUACUAGGUGUAGGAGGUAUCGACCCCUUCUGUGCCGGAGUAAACACAAUAAGUAUCCCACCUGGGGAGUACGACCGCAAGGUUGAAACUCAAAGGAAUUGACGGGGACCCGCACAAGCAGCGGAGCAUGUGGUUUAAUUCGAAGCAACGCGAAGAGCCUUACCAGGCCUUGACAUCCCAUUGCCGGCAGGGUAAUGCCUGCUUUCCUUCGGGACGAUGGAGACAGGUGGUGCAUGGUUGUCGUCAGCUCGUGUCGUGAGAUGUUGGGUUAAGUCCCGCAACGAGCGCAACCCUUAUCCCCAGUAGCCAGCACGUGAUGGUGGGAACUCUGUGGAGACUGCCGGGGACAACCCGGAGGAAGGUGGGGAUGACGUCAAAUCAUCAUGCCCCUUAUGGCCUGGGCUACACACGUGCUACAAUGGCGUAAACAAAGGGAGGCGAGGCCGCGAGGCGGAGCGAACCCCAAAAAUAACGUCCCAGAUCGGAUUGUAGUCUGCAACCCGACUACAUGAAGCUGGAAUCGCUAGUAAUCGCGGAUUAGCAUGCCGCGGUGAAUACGUUCCCGGGUCUUGCACACACCGCCCGUCA
Molecule: ribosomal RNA, 1394 nt
Filed under: uncultured bacterium
Lineage: Bacteria
Description: bacterial SSU rRNA
Rfam family: Bacterial small subunit ribosomal RNA
Source: RNAcentral